RNAcentral lists this ribosomal RNA (253 nucleotides) under uncultured bacterium. RNAcentral's name for it is "partial 16S ribosomal RNA". It matches the Rfam family "Bacterial small subunit ribosomal RNA", at positions 524 to 776 of the family's 1533-position model. The record is from RNAcentral.
UACGGGGGGGGCAAGCGUUGUUCGGAAUUACUGGGCGUAAAGCGUGCGCAGGCGGUUUUGCAAGACAGAUGGGAAAUCCCCGGGCUCAACCUGGGAACUGCAUUUGUGACUGCACAGCUUGAGUGCGGCAGAGGGGGAUGGAAUUCCGCGUGUAGCAGUGAAAUGCGUAGAUAUGCGGAGGAACACCGAUGGCGAAGGCAAUCCCCUGGGCCUGCACUGACGCUCAUGCACGAAAGCGUGGGGAGCAAACAGG